This 76-nucleotide transfer RNA is filed under the name Vibrio sp. S457-15. RNAcentral describes it as "tRNA-Pro". The record is from RNAcentral. Lineage: Bacteria; Pseudomonadati; Pseudomonadota; Gammaproteobacteria; Vibrionales; Vibrionaceae.
GGGACUAUAGCUCAGCUGGGAGAGCCCCUGCCUUGGACGCAGGUCGUCUGCCGUUGGAUCCCGCAUAGCUCCACCA